RNAcentral lists this ribosomal RNA (1527 nucleotides) under Triticum aestivum (bread wheat). RNAcentral's name for it is "partial small subunit ribosomal RNA". The record is from RNAcentral. Lineage: Eukaryota; Viridiplantae; Streptophyta; Magnoliopsida; Poales; Poaceae.
AUGUCUGCAGGUCGCUCUCAGCACACGGCUACCUCGAGCAUGCGGCGCCGGCAAGAGGCCGAGCGCACCGUGGCAGAGGAGCGUGAGCGAGCGGCUGUAGCAGCGGCUGCUGCGGCGGCAAGAGUGUCGAGGCUGGCUGCAGCGGAGCUGGCAGCAGCCAGAGCGGAGGUAGAAGCAGCCAGGGCGGAGGUAGAAGCAGCAGCAGCAGCAGAAGCAGCCCGUGAGGCUACGGCGGAUGCCAAGGCACUCCGCGGCAGCCCCGGCAGCUCCAGCAGCUCCGCGCCUGCGGACGACGGCGCCGACGCAGAUCGCGCCAAAGUGGCGCAGGAGCGGACGGCGCAGUGGGCAGCCGAGCACGCCCGCGCUCCAGGUGGAGGCGCGCACCGCGACGGCGGCUGCAACGACCAGGACCGCGGCCUCUACGAGGUCCGGACUGUGGUCAGGGAUGUUGGUUCCAGUGUUGGGUGGCCUACCCUCACUAAAACCAACUACGUCGAGUGGGCCGGGAUCAUGAAGGUCAGGCUCCAGGUGCGGCGCAUGUGGGAGGCAGUCCAGGACAGCAACGUCGACCACCUAGAGGAUCGACGGGCGCUGGACGCCCUCAUCGUCGCAGUCCCGCCCGAGAUGCAGUUCUCGCUUUCCAACAAGCGGACUGCCAAGGAGGCUUGGGACGCCAUCGCCGCAGCACGCAUCGGCAGCGACCGUGCUCGCAAGUCCACCCUGCAGGCACUUCGUAAGGAGUGGGAGAACCUGGGCUUCAAGCCAGGUGAGGACGUUGAUGACUUUGCUCUCCGUCUCAACACUCUGCUGCAGAAGAUGGUGAAGUUUGGCGAUGCCACCUACACCGAGGAGAGAGCUGUCGAGAAGCUUUUUCGGUGCAUUCCCGAGAAGUACAAGCAGAUGGCUCGCUCGAUCGAGUCGUUGCUGGACCUCUCCACGAUGACGAUCGAGGAGGCGAUAGGUCGACUCAAGGUCGUCGACACCGACGAGCCACAGCCCCCCUCGGGGCCCGUCACCACCGGCGGGAAGCUGCUCCUAACUCGGGAGCAGUGGGAUCCCAGCCUUGGUGACAAGAAGAAGGGGGAGCCUUCCUCCUCGACGGGCGGCCGCAAGCGUGGCAAGCAGCGUAAGGCGCGAAGAGGCCCCCCGGGCAGGGCACAAGGACGUGCCGAAGGUGACGCCCGCGGAGGCGCCAAGGACGGCGCCGCUGGCAAGCCCAGGCCGGCACAAGACAACAGUUGCCACAACUGUGGCCGGUUUGGCCAUUGGGCCAAUGAGUGUCGGCAACCACGACAAGGCCAGGCUCACAUCGCACAGGCGAAGGAGAAGGAGACGGCUCUGUUCAUGGCACAUGCAAGCAUUGAGCUACCCUCGGCGACUCCAGCUGAAAGGUCUAACAGCUACCUCGUUCUCAGACUUGAACACUAUUUGCCCCUUUGCUUUGCCAUAGCUGUGGAGGAGGACCGUGAUAAAUCGAUCAAUCAGUUCUCCCUUGGUAUCGUCAACUACCAGUCGUUGCACAACUGA